GGGGGCAACCUUAUGAAUCAAGCUGUGCGCGGACGAUGUAAAUAUACUUCUACAGAGGCGGGAGGCAGAAGGUGCAGGGGAAGCGGUGCACUGCUGCGUGGUUUGGAUGGCCGACGCCUGAACUGGUGGUUGGCUGGUUGAGGUUCAUGCGGAACCACUGUGUUUGUGGUUUUCUGGACGGGUUUGCUCUUUUACUCUGAAUCCAGAUGUGAGUUGACACUUUCAUGUGUUAUGUGUUCUCUGCUUCUUUGGUGGCUAGGGAAACAUCAAACAUGACUUCGGCUGUACUGACAGACAGUGAGAGGUGACGUUAGUUCAGUGAUCAACUUUUUUUUAGUUUCAGCAUAUGAUUUUUUGGCCAAAUACUGUCAACAGACUACUGUUCUGCUCGCCAAGUGCUGGCAACACAAGAACAAAUCCAAGAAAUUUGCUACUCGAGCUGUAACUACUCAAGCAUU
Non-coding RNA from Lolium perenne, 458 nucleotides. NCBI's taxonomy places the organism in Eukaryota, Viridiplantae, Streptophyta, Magnoliopsida, Poales, Poaceae. The record is from RefSeq and is a predicted model, not a curated record.